Zingiber officinale is the source of this 1094-nucleotide long non-coding RNA. RefSeq lists it as uncharacterized. The record is from RefSeq and is a predicted model, not a curated record. The transcript is spliced from 2 exons. Lineage: Eukaryota; Viridiplantae; Streptophyta; Magnoliopsida; Zingiberales; Zingiberaceae.
AGAAAUGGGUAAAACAAGUGUGUACUAUAUAAAGAGCACAUUGCAGAAAGAAAGACAAGCGAGGAGAGACUUCUAACACUUUCUUCUUGAAUCACCGGAUUUUAGAUUGAGACGUUGUGGAUCCGUGGUGACAGUUCAUUCGUGAUUAUCAUCCCGACUACGAGUUUGAUUCGAGGAGUUUUUCGUGGUUCUCAGAUCGAGUACCCGCGACAACAACAUCCUCAACAAUAACAAGAGAGUGUUGGUCGGAGUCCUUGCUCUAGCCAAGGCAGCCCGGACUCCGAUGGUGAGGUUGAAGCUUCACACGAGGCCACCCCUUUCCUUCUCAACGAGAUUGUGCUCCCACAACCUCUCCACCUCCACCGUCGUCUCCGACAAUGGAGUGUAAAGCGUGCCUCGCCCGUCAGAGAUGCUACUUCCUCCAACCACUACCGGCUAGAGUUCACCUGUGGAAGCCCUCCUCCCCCUAUUCCCGUGCCUCUUCUCUAGAGGGAAGGAAAAAUCUCUCUCUCUAAACCAAUGGUAGAAGAGGAUGACGGAUUUGUUUGUGUGCUUGAUAUGCUUUACAAUCAUAUCAAUACGUGUUUGGAUGAAAGUAAUACUAGGAUAGAUGAUCCCUGAAAAGCCUUCGUAUUAUGCUUAUUUUUAAUCGAUCAUCUCUAAAAAUUAAUCAGUUACUUAUGAUAGGGUCUCAAAAAGGCUAUUCAUGUGGUGCGUACUUAGGACUGCUUGCCUAGGCUGCCCAACUGCUUGGACUGAUUGGCUGUCGGACUUCCAGGCUGGCGUAUAAGAAAGGCUGCAGAUGAUGGGCAGGGAGGGAGUAGGGGCCUUGCUGACUGUCUGGACUACUUUCAUUUGAUGCUAGGUAGGGCCUGCCCGGACAACUUGCUAAGGCUGUCAAAUUGUCAGUAUGAGCUGCUCGGACUCUUCGCCCAUUCACGGGUGGCAAAAGCUAAAGUCACGCCCGUUCACUUGUUUUGUUCUGGGAUUGCAUUGCCCUUUUGGAACUUGUUCCUUAUUUUCACGGACCAAUCAAGUAGAUUGUGAAACGUUCACUCAUUCAAAUUAUCAAUAUUCUUAGAAUUAUCAUUUAA